Molecule: ribosomal RNA, 422 nt
Filed under: uncultured eukaryote
Lineage: Eukaryota
Description: partial 18S ribosomal RNA
Rfam family: Eukaryotic small subunit ribosomal RNA
Source: RNAcentral
CAAUAGCGUAUACUAAAGUUGUUGCAGUUAAAAGGCUCGUAGUCGAAUGUAUGAUCUAGUUGUUGCACCUGGCCCGGUAUCAUUUUCGUCGUUGGUGCUCGUUUGAGCCCUUCGGUGUGAUGCUGAGCGCCGGAGUGCAUGGAUCAUCCUUCUGGAGCGUUCCCCGAGAGGGGGCCACUUCAGAUCUUUUACUGUGAGUAAAUCAGAGUGUUCAAAGCAGGCAUUGUUUGCUUGAAUGGUUCAGCAUGGAAUAAUAAGAUAGGACUUUGGUUCCUAUGUUGUUGGCUAUGUACUAUGAGGUGACCAAAGUAAUGAUGGAAAGGGAUAGUUGGGGGUGCUAGUAUUGGACGGUCAGCGGUGAAAUGCAUGGACCCGUUCAAGACUAACCUAUGCGAAAGCAUUCACCAAGGAUAUCUNCUUUG